RNAcentral lists this RNase P RNA (366 nucleotides) under Deltaproteobacteria bacterium. RNAcentral describes it as "RNase P RNA component class A". It matches the Rfam family "Bacterial RNase P class A". From Rfam's summary of the family: Ribonuclease P (RNase P) is a ubiquitous endoribonuclease, found in archaea, bacteria and eukarya as well as chloroplasts and mitochondria. The record is from RNAcentral. Lineage: Bacteria; Pseudomonadati; Myxococcota; Myxococcia.
CGAGCGGACCGGCGGUCGCGGCGCCCCUUCCGCGAGGAGGGCGGCGUCGAGGAAAGUCCGGGCUCCGCAGGGCAGGGUGCUCGCGAAGGCGAGUCGGGGUGACCCGAAGGAAAGUGCCACAGAAAGCAAACCGCCUGGGUCCGCCCAGGUAAGGGUGAAAGGGUGCGGUAAGAGCGCACCGGGCUCCCCGUGAGGGGGGUCGCACGGUAAACCCCACCCGGAGCAAGGCCAAACAGGGACGCUUCGGCCCCGUGCCGAUACGGGUGGCCCGCCCGGUCCCGGGUCGUGCCGCGAAGAUGAAUGACCGCCCCCCGAGGAGGGCAACCGACUCGGGUACAGAACCCGGCUUAUGGCCCGUCUCGGGCG